This is a long non-coding RNA of Culex quinquefasciatus (southern house mosquito), 621 nucleotides long. RefSeq lists it as uncharacterized. NCBI's taxonomy places the organism in Eukaryota, Metazoa, Arthropoda, Insecta, Diptera, Culicidae. The transcript has 3 exons. The record is from RefSeq and is a predicted model, not a curated record.
UUCUACACAAGAGCAAUACUGAUUAGCCAGGACAGAAAAGAGAAAACCAGCGCGCACACAGACACACGCACAAGCGCCACACACAUGAAUUAAAUAGAAAUGAAACUUUUCGAUCAAUUAUAUUUAAAGGUGUCUAUUUCUAAAACUUUUCAAACCAUUAAACUGUAACAAAGCACGGUGUGGUAACAGAAACGAUUCAAAUUGACUUCAAUUUAAACAAAUUUCUUUACUGUAGUUACAGCAAAUGUGUGUGCGCUGUUUUCAAACUGAUUGAACUAUUUUUCAAAUUGAGAAUCAUUGCCCAACACCUGAAUUUAUCGACUUGAUUCAUCAACAGUGAAGACAGGACUAUGGAGUGAAAAUUCCGUGAAGAGGUGAAAUUCACCGAUUGCUCUCGUUCAACCAUCGCAUGGUUUCGCACUUGCACUUCGUGCUUCACUCACUAACACAGUUACACCGCAGAGAAUAUCGAAUGUUCAUCGCUUUUCCUGAUUUCGCUCAACUUGCGGAGCAACACUUAGUUAUUUGUUCAAUUUUAGGAUAAUCGAAGGUGUUGGGUUUGACUCGAAAGAUGGCAACGUGUUUGUCCUUAUCAGUACGCUUAAGAUUUAACAGGUGCUA